RNAcentral lists this ribosomal RNA (407 nucleotides) under Munida subrugosa. RNAcentral describes it as "partial 16S ribosomal RNA". Lineage: Eukaryota; Metazoa; Arthropoda; Malacostraca; Decapoda; Munididae. The record is from RNAcentral.
CGCGGUAUAUUAACUGUGCAAAGGUGGCAUAAUCAUUAGUUUUUUAAUUGAAGGCUUGUAUGAAGGGUUGGACAAAGAAUAAUCUGUUUCUAUUUUUGUUUUUGAAUUUGACUUUUAAGUUAAAAGGCUUAAUUGAAUUUAAGGGACGAUAAGACCCUAUAAAUCUUUAUAUUAAAUUAUUUUUAGUUAAUUAAUAAUGUAAUUUUAACAGUAAAAUAAAAUAUAUUGUGUUGGGGUGAUGAGAAUAUAAAAUUAACUGUUCUAAAUUGAAAACAAAUUUAUUUGAAUUAAUAAUAGAUCCUUAAUAGAGAUUAAAAGUUUAAGUUACUUUAGGGAUAACAGCGUUAUUUUUUUUGAGAGUUCAUAUCGAAAAAAAAGUUUGCGACCUCGAUGUUGAAUUAAAAGUU